RNAcentral lists this ribosomal RNA (253 nucleotides) under uncultured bacterium. RNAcentral describes it as "partial 16S ribosomal RNA". It matches the Rfam family "Bacterial small subunit ribosomal RNA", at positions 524 to 776 of the family's 1533-position model. The record is from RNAcentral.
UACGAAGGGGGCUAGCGUUGUUCGGAAUUACUGGGCGUAAAGCGUGCGCAGGCGGCUUCUCAAGUCAGGGGUGAAAGCCCAGAGCUCAACUCUGGAAUUGCCUUUGAGACUGAGUGGCUUGAGUACGAGAGAGGUGAGUGGAAUUCCCAGUGUAGAGGUGAAAUGCGCAGAUAUCGGGAAGAACACCUAUGGCGAAGGCAGCUCUCUGGGACGGUACUGACGCUGAGACGCGAAAGCGUGGGGAGCGAACAGG